This 425-nucleotide ribosomal RNA is filed under the name uncultured bacterium. RNAcentral's name for it is "partial 16S ribosomal RNA". It matches the Rfam family "Bacterial small subunit ribosomal RNA", at positions 354 to 796 of the family's 1533-position model. The record is from RNAcentral.
GUGGGGAAUCUUGCGCAAUGGGCGAAAGCCUGACGCAGCCAUGCCGCGUGAAUGAUGAAGGUCUUAGGAUUGUAAAAUUCUUUCACCGGGGACGAUAAUGACGGUACCCGGAGAAGAAGCCCCGGCUAACUUCGUGCCAGCAGCCGCGGUAAUACGAAGGGGGCUAGCGUUGCUCGGAAUUACUGGGCGUAAAGGGAGCGUAGGCGGACUGUUUAGUCAGAGGUGAAAGCCCAGGGCUCAAACUUGGAAUUGCCUUUGAUACUGGCAGUCUUGAGUACGGGAGAGGUGUGUGGAACUCCGAGUGUAGAGGUGAAAUUCGUAGAUAUUCGGAAGAACACCAGUGGCGAAGGCGACACACUGGCCCGUUACUGACGCUGAGGCUCGAAAGCGUGGGGAGCAAACAGGAUUAGAUACCCUGGUAGUCC